Molecule: ribosomal RNA, 308 nt
Filed under: uncultured Pseudomonas sp.
Lineage: Bacteria; Pseudomonadati; Pseudomonadota; Gammaproteobacteria; Pseudomonadales; Pseudomonadaceae
Description: bacterial SSU rRNA
Rfam family: Bacterial small subunit ribosomal RNA
Source: RNAcentral
UUGGGUUAAGUCCGUAACCGAGACGCAACCCUUGUCCUUAGUUACCAGCACGUUAUGGUGGGCGACUCUAAGGAGACUGCCGGUGCAAACCGGAGGAAGUGGGGAUGACGUCAAGUCAUCAUGGCCCUUACGGCCUGGGCUACACACGUGCUACAAUGGUCGGUACAAAGGGUUGCCAAGCCGCGAGGUGGAGCUAAUCCCAUAAAACCGAUCGUAGUCCGGAUCGCAGUCUGCAACUCGACUGCGUGAAGUCGGAAUCGCUAGUAAUCGUGAAUCAGAAUGUCACGGUGAAUACGUUCCCGGGCCUU